GGAUGUAAGGGCAAUCUGGCUGCAAUAUCUGUCACCCCAUUAAUCCCCAGGGUUGAUUUGGCUGAUCUGGCUGACUAGGUGGGUGUCCCCCUCCUCCCGCACCAAUCCAUGUGCGUCCCUCCCGAAGCUGUGUGCUCAGUUGAAAAAGACUUGCUCAGUGAGAAAAGAUGACCUUUGCUCCAGAGGACAGGACCUGUCUUUGCUCAAGAGUAUAAGAGAAGCUGCUUUCCCCUGCUAGAACCUCCAAACAAUCUCUCAAAAAACUACUAGAUUUAAUAAAUAAAUUUGGCAACAUAGCAGAAUACAAAAUUAACACCCAGAAAUCUAUGGCAUUUUUU
Molecule: small nuclear RNA, 338 nt
Filed under: Myotis davidii
Lineage: Eukaryota; Metazoa; Chordata; Mammalia; Chiroptera; Vespertilionidae
Description: 7SK RNA
Rfam family: 7SK RNA
About the family: 7SK was discovered as an abundant small nuclear RNA in the mid-70s but a possible function has only recently been suggested. Two independent studies have found that 7SK RNA binds the CDK9/cyclin T complex (known as elongation factor P-TEFb).
Source: Rfam by way of RNAcentral